UACGUAGGGUGCGAGCGUUCAUCGGAAUUACUGGGCGUAAAGCGUGCGCAGGCGGUUUUUUAAGCCAGGUGUGAAAUCCCCGGGCUCAACCUGGGAAUGGCAUUUGGGACUGCAAGGCUGGAGUGCGGCAGAGGAGACUGGAAUUCCUGGUGUAGCAGUGAAAUGCGUAGAUAUCAGGAGGAAUACCGAUGGCGAAGGCAGGUCUCUGGGCUGACACUGACGCUCAUGCACGAAAGCGUGGGGAGCAAACAGG
This 253-nucleotide ribosomal RNA is filed under the name uncultured bacterium. RNAcentral describes it as "partial 16S ribosomal RNA". It matches the Rfam family "Bacterial small subunit ribosomal RNA", at positions 524 to 776 of the family's 1533-position model. The record is from RNAcentral.